Haplochromis burtoni (Burton's mouthbrooder) is the source of this 4681-nucleotide RNA transcript. It is a transcript of the gene named calpain-5, with no coding region annotated. The transcript is spliced from 16 exons. The record is from RefSeq and is a predicted model, not a curated record. Lineage: Eukaryota; Metazoa; Chordata; Actinopteri; Cichliformes; Cichlidae.
UUGUGUUUCACGUUCAAUUUUUUUUCAUCCAGGUCCAAUGGCACAAAUAUGACACCGAGUUAAUUACCUGGUGGAGAUGUAGCAAACACUCCUGACACAUUCAGAGGAAGGGACAACAUUAACUGCUGCUGACUCUGGGAUAAGGAAGAGGAAAAAGUGGACACAUGUUGGCUGUUUUUGUUGUUGUUUUUGGUUUUUUAUAAUUAUCCUCAAAAAAAUGAGGAUGACUAAAUGACUAAGGGAAUCCACUGACGGGGCUCAGCACAAAGGUCCAUCUUAGGAAGCAAGUGGAUAAACUUCCAGACUUGAAGGCCUCUGAGGCCCAACCAGGAUGCCAGAACGAGUGUAUGACUUCCAGGGCCAGAGUUUUCACAAGCUGCGGCGGGCCUGCCUCCGUCGAGGAGCGCUCUUCAAGGAUCCUCUAUUCCCCGCCACAGACCAGUCCCUCUUUUACAAGAGACAGCCUCCACCGGGUCUGACCUGGAAGAGGCCGAGGGAGAUUUGUAAGGACCCCCGUCUGUUUGUCGAUGGCAUCAGCACUCGUGAUUUGCACCAAGGAAGUCUGGGUAACUGCUGGAUGGUGGCAGCCAUUUCCUGCCUGGCGUCUGAGCCAUCACUGUGGAAAAAGGUCAUCCCCGAUCAUUUGAAUCAGGAGUGGAAUCCAAAGCGUCCCGACUUGUAUGCAGGAAUUUUCCAUUUCAGGUUCUGGCGUCUCGGUCGCUGGAUGGAUGUUGUUGUAGAUGAUCGCCUGCCUGUCAGCGAGGAUGGAGUGCUGCUCUUCUGUCGUUCGGCAACACCACGAGAGUUCUGGAGCGCCCUGCUGGAAAAGGCCUACGCCAAACUUAACGGCUGCUACGAGGCCUUGGAGGGAGGGAACACUGCAGAGGCCCUGAUCGACUUCACUGGUGGAGUUUCAGAGCCGCUCAGUCUGGAUCGUGAGGCUCUAAGACUUCACAGUGACCAGAGGAGGGCGCUCUUCCAGACUUUAACCAAGGUCCAUGAAUGUAAAUCACUCAUCACUUGCUCCAUACGGCCUGCAGAGGGAGAGACCGUGGAGUCAGUGCUGGAGUGUGGGCUCGUGCGAGGACACGCCUAUGGGAUCACGGCAGUGAGGAAGGUGAGGUUGGGGGAGAAGGUACUGAAGAGAGGCGGAACAUCCAGACUCUUUAUGGUCCGCAUGAGGAACCCGUGGGGGACCACAGAUUGGACCGGUGCCUGGAGUCAGAGGUCAGAGCAGUGGCAGCAACUGAGUCGUGCAGAGAGGGACAAGAUGGGGCUUGUUGUUCGUGAUGUCGGGGAGUUUUGGAUGGAUUUCGAGGACUUCUGUCAACACUUUACAGACGUGGUGGUGUGCAGACUGGUGGAGAGGACUCUGCUGUGGCCGAGAUCUCGCUGGAGAGAAGUGAGCUGCUACGGGGAGUGGGUUCUACCUCCCCCCACCCAUGGACCACCUCCACCCACUGUGCUCCAGAGUAACCCUACACUGACUCUGAGUAAGAGCAGCAACGGGCCUGGAGGGACUAAGCAGCGUGGGAACAGAAAGGAUGAUCGACUAGGUGAGAGUCAACAGGAAGGAAGGAAAAGAGGAAGAAGCAAGCCUGAUGUGAACAAAGUGACAGCAGAAAAGGGUGGUGGGAAGGUGAAUGGAGUCUGGAAGGUGGAGUUGGAUAAGAGGAGCCGGUGUGGUGGAUGUAUCAAUCACAGGGACACCUUCCUGCACAAUCCACAGUUCAUGUUUGAGGUGCGAGCCAAAGAGGAGGAGGUGCUGAUCUGUCUGCAGCAGGAGGACAGGAGGAUGUGGAGGAAAAAUGGAAAAGGAGAAAACCUGCCUAUUGGCUUUGAGGUGUUGAAGGUGGAGGUGAACCGCUGCAGUCGGGUGCAGUGCGUGGUGGAGCAGGCGGCCAGCUCCAUCUACAUGGAUUCCCGGAGUGUGACACUGAGGGGAACUCUGACUCUGGGACGUUAUGUUGUGCUGCCCACCACCUUCCUGCCGGGCGUCACUGGAUGCUUCCUGCUUCGCCUCUUCUCCCACUCUCGUAUCAGACUCAGUUGGACAUGGCUGAUGCCUGAACAUCCUUUACUGGCUUCUUUCAUGUAUGUGGAGGAGCAUCGGUUCUAUUCUCUGCCCCCCCAAAUGACCGAGCAACUUGCCCUAUUCCUAAGGGAAGACCCAGACACCCUUACUAUAGUACGCUAUAGUACAGGAGGGAGGAGGGAACGCCACAAAACGAAGGUGAGCAGACUUAGACUGACUCUUGUCUCGGGGGGAAGGCCUCAAAUGAUUUUUAUGUAACAAUAUAACAUUUUAAAAAUAUACAUAUAUCAUAUAUAUACAUAUACAAUACAUAAUUUUCAUAAAUAAAUGAAACUAAAAGCACUUGUAGUAAAAAGCUAGAAUCAGCAGUAUGAAAUACACACCGUAAUUCAAUAACAAAUCUGACUUAACGACUAUUUUUAUCUCCAGUGGUCAGACUGAGCGGUUCGGAUUACAGACCGCUGCAGACAGAGAACCAAAAGUUCACAGUUUGCAUUCCUUUCUUUUAAAAUCAUUUUAUCUGUUUUUUUAAAAGCAUAAACAUGUCAAAUUAAAAUCAAAGCAUUAAACAGCACUGCGCUCAUUUCUUUAUCAGUACAUAUAUGAGUGCAUGUAAUGAAAUAUCCGGUGACAUCACUGGGACCCGUAAGGGUGAAUCAUUUUUAAUAGCAUUUCUUCUCAUUAGACUCAAAUCUGUCUUGUAGCAUUACUACACAUUACAAUGCUUACAAAAACAAUGCACAUAUACGUGUAUUGCUGAUAUUCGCAGAGCUCCACUCCUCUGUUUAAAUGCAAACAAUAAACUUUUGAGAAGAACAAACGGCCCAUUCACCUUUUAUCUGCUCUCAUGUGACAGCAUUUGAUUAUCAGGACAGCUGCUAUGUGUGAGCAGCUGCUGUAAGAAGUGAAGGACCUCAAACUGCCACGACCAUUGCUUUGAGCAGAAAGAUGAUUUCACCCUAAUGACACCCUUAGUAAUUCAGCCUUAUUUGCAUUUUAUGUUACAAUCGUUCCUUCUUUCUCAAAUAUUUAACACCAGUUUAACAUAUUAGCCUGGAAAUUUAAAAAUAAAUAAAUAUUGAAAUAUAUCUCUGAAAACAGUCCAAAGGAAUGAAACAUUCAGAAACCUUUUUGGAGCCAUUUUUUAGGCCGGUGGUAUGAAAAGAACAACAGUUUAAAAUUGCAUUAAGUAAUUGUUUUUCAAACUGUUUUAUUUAAGUAUUGAAGUGUUUACACAGUGUGUUUCACAGUCAUUUUGAAGCUUAUCGUUAACAACUCUCAUUAUUAAACCGGAUGUGUGUCAGAGCCUGUCACCUCUCGCCUCUUUCACGAUCAGCUGACCGCGUGAGCGAGCGCUUUAGUUUGUGCGCGCGCUCCCUCGAGGCGGAGGCUUUGCAUCUGACUAGGUGAGGCUGUCAGAGACGCGAGCAGCUGGCAGGAGGUGAACUCGGAGUGAGCACAAGUUACAUCUUAUUGAGCGCUCAGAGAGCUUCAGUGUGGAACAUGGCUCCUCCGUGAAAUAGAAAUAUUUCAGACGUGCCAUCUCACAUAAAGCUCAGCUCUUUAUCUUCCUUUGCAGGUGAAGAAACUCAUUAGGAAAAAUGGCGAACAGUAACCUUCUGGGACGCAUCCGGAACCAUCCUCAACCCCCAGCACCCGCUCUAGCGAUUUCAAAAGUGAUUUUGUGCGGCAUGCCCAUUGCUCAGAUUGCAAUUGGGACAAUAUACCUUCAUGAGUGUCCGCGUGAGCACUUCAUCCCCAUCUAUCUGAUAGUGGUGGGAGUCUUUGGCCUGAUUCUGUCGUUGCUCUCCUGCUUGCCCUGCGCCAGGGAGCCCGAAGAAGGCACCUCCAACCCUCUGAGCACAAUCUGCACAACCUGGAACUCCUUGACAUCUGUCUUUCUCUUCUGCUGGUUUAUCGCUGGUAAUGUAUGGAUCUACUCUAUUUAUCAGCCCAACUACACCAAAAACGCAACAGAUGUGAGCACCUACUGCAACAAGACCCUUUACCUGUUUGCCUUCUGGACCACCACUCUGGUUUACAUCCUGAUCGGUUUGUUUUUCAUGUGCGGCUUCUUGGUCCUCCUCUGCUUCUGCCUGUGUGGCCGUGCCGAUCCCGACGACGACGUGUAACGACGUUCAGAAACGAUGACGGUACUGGACGCACACAAUGAAUAUGCUGCUGAUGCAGAUAUGUUUACGAAUAUGUUGUAAGUGUGUGAUUUGACAGCGCAUCUUGUGUUGAAAGAUGAGCAUUUUCUAAACCUCUGCAGCAGCUACUGUUUACAGGAAUUUUAUUCUGAAAUCAAGAAGAUCACUGGUGUUUAAGAAUUUAUGCGAGAGCUGAUUCCAACAGCAAAAUUAUUUUUACUUUCCUAUUUGUUUCCAUGUUUGUCCCAGGAAAACACGUCUAUAUUAUAAAUGUGAGGAAGGUUUUUCUCACAAGGAUCUCAGCUCGUCAUUAAACUCUUUUAGUGACGCUACAGAUAAAUAUCAGCCACUGACAUCGUUUACUGCCAUCCUAUUUGCUGAUAAACGCCCAGCAUCAGUCAUUGCCAGGGUUCAGCUGAUACAUCUGUGAAUCUGUAGAUGUGCUGUUACAUGAUGAGCCACAAAUUCGGAUUACUGAGUGUAAAUGAUGAAAUGG